Molecule: long non-coding RNA, 517 nt
Organism: Frankliniella occidentalis (western flower thrips)
Lineage: Eukaryota; Metazoa; Arthropoda; Insecta; Thysanoptera; Thripidae
Exons: 2
Source: RefSeq, a predicted model, not a curated record
AUAACAUUGUUGUGACAAAACACAGUUUAAUGAAUAAUUAAAGUAAAGAAACUUGUCAAUAAGCUUUAAAAAACAUUUAAAAAAAAAAAAUGCUGCUUUGCUACACCCAAACCAUCUUUUUAAAUUACCUUUGUUAAGAGGCAUCUAUUGGUGACUCAGGUCAGUGGUCAUGUCUAUAAAGCAAAUUCUACUUUAAUGGCCAAAAAAAUAAAAACAAGAAAUUAAAAGAGUGGGGGAGGUCAUUUGCAACAUCUUAUAGGUGUGGGCAAAUACAUAUUUUCUAAAAAAUAUAUUUGUAGGGAAGACCACACUAAGUCACAGCCUAAUCAUUUAAGGAGUUUGUGCCACAAACCUAAUAGAAUAUUUCAAGCUUAACCAUUUACUCUAAAGAAAGAGGAUGUAACUGCAAACUUAAUUAGAUAAUUUCCCAUUGUCAAAAUUUCACUGAAAACUUAACAAAGUAAUAAGUAACAGCCAUCAUUAUUUCAUUGUAGCCAAGACUCAUUUGAUUAAAUAU